This 253-nucleotide ribosomal RNA is filed under the name uncultured prokaryote. Its description in RNAcentral is "partial 16S ribosomal RNA". It matches the Rfam family "Bacterial small subunit ribosomal RNA", at positions 524 to 776 of the family's 1533-position model. The record is from RNAcentral.
GACAGAGGUGCCAAGCGUUAGGCGGAAUCACUGGGCUUAAAGCGUGUGUAGGCGGAUCGUUAAGUACCUUGUGAAAUCCCACGGCUCAACCGUGGAACUGCUCGGUAUACUGGCGAUCUUGAGCCAGCUAGGGGCUACCGGAACAAAUGGUGGAGCGGUGAAAUGCGUAGAUAUCAUUUGGAACGCCAAUGGUGAAAACAGGUAGCUGGGGCUGUGCUGACGCUGAGACACGAAAGCCAGGGGAGCAAACGGG